UUCACCUUUUCUGUUCAUAACAGCCAUAUAUACUAUUAAAAUGACUUAAAUUAAUUUAUUUAUUAAAUAACUGAUAAUAAUAUAAUACGUACCUGAAUCAUCUGCGCUCUGGUGGCAGAAAUAGGAAUUAAAAAUUGAAAUUACAUCAUUUCGCGCGGUGUCAUAUUGAAAGGUGGAAGCAACCGCAGAGUUUGUUAUAAGUGUGAAAAAUUUAAUACACAUCGACAUGUCAUUACUUCAAAACGGAAUGUCACUCUUUCCUUUCUUUUUCGAGGAUCGGAAAGGACCUAAUGGUGCUUUAAAAGUAAAAAAUGUCUCUUCCAGUCUUCACUUCUUCUAUUGAUGAUCUAUCGAUGAUUUCGGUUUGAUGAUGGCUUGAUGGUAUUUUCCCUUGAAGCACAACAAUAUCAUUGACAACGCUCUUCGCAUUUAAUUAUAUCUUUAUUGGACAGUGAUAUCAUUAAUUGUGGGACUUCAUUAUUAUAGAAUUUCAAUAAGAAUGUCAAGAAUGACUAAUAGUAAGGAAGUAUUGGUAGUACGUUAUGUACGAUACGUUAUGUUACGUACGGUAGUACGAUUGGAAAAUAAUAAAAGAUAAUUGAUUUUGACUUCGCCUAAGCUGUGUAAUAAUCUAAAAACGUGGUUUGUCAGGUGAAUGUUAGUUUCAAAUAAAUUGAGAUAUUUCUA
Molecule: unclassified non-coding RNA, 687 nt
Filed under: Bombus terrestris (buff-tailed bumblebee)
Lineage: Eukaryota; Metazoa; Arthropoda; Insecta; Hymenoptera; Apidae
Description: misc RNA ENSBTSG00005024627.1
Source: RNAcentral